GAUGAACGCUGGCGGCGUGCCUAAUACAUGCAAGUCGUGCGGAAAGGCCACUUCGGUGGUACUCGAGCGGCGGACGGCAGAGUAACGCGUAGGAACAUACCCCAAACUGAGGGAUAACUGCUCGAAGAGUAGCUAAUACCGCAUGUGAUCUUCGGAUUAAAGCUUCGGCGGUUUGGGAAUGGCCUGCGUCCGAUUAGCUUGUUGGUGAGGUAAUAGCUCACCAAGGCGACGAUCGGUAGCUGGUCUGAGAGGAUGAUCAGCCUGACUGGAACUGAGAACGGUCCAGACUCCUACGGGAGGCAGCAGUAGGGAAUUUUCCACAAUGGGCGAAAGCCUGAUGGAGCAACGCCGCGUGCAGGAUGAAUGCCUUCAGGUUGUAAACUGCUUUAUUAGUGAAGAAUAUGACGGUAACUAAUAGAAUAAGGGUACGGCUAACUACGUGCCAGCAGCCGCGGU
Molecule: ribosomal RNA, 456 nt
Filed under: uncultured bacterium
Lineage: Bacteria
Description: bacterial SSU rRNA
Rfam family: Bacterial small subunit ribosomal RNA
Source: RNAcentral